ACACUGAUAAACUCUCCCUUUCCCAAACUCAUCUUCAACCCCCUUGCACUGCCUGUUUAAUUCAGCGUCAUCAGAAAAUAACCCCAAAUGUCUUGCACUCCUGGCUUCUGCUGAUAGAGGAGAAAGGGCUUAAGACCCUGAAAAAAAAAAUUUAUAGGAAAAUUUCCCCAAAAGGUAAGCACAAUAAAAAGUCAAAAGGAGGUACGGGCUGAAGAAUGACUUCCUGCAAUGUGUAAUUUCAAGGCCUUGGCAACCACCUUUCUACUUUCCAAUUCUAUAAUUUUUAACCACUUUAGAUACUUCAUUAUUCCUGUAUCCUGGAGAAGGCAGCACUCGAGCCACCAUCUUGGAAGUGAAGAUCAGGCCCUCAGCAGACACAAAACCUGCCAGUGCCAUGAUCUUGGAUUUUUCAACCUGCAGGACUAUUCAAUGAAAUUCCAAUGAAAAUCUCAAGUUAUUAUGUGAAUAUUGAAAAACGAACCCUAAAGUUUAUAUGGAGAGCCAAAAAAUGCAAAAGAGCCAGCACAUAUUGAAAGAGAAGAACAAAGUCAGAAGAUUGACACUACCUGACUUCAAGACUUAUGAUAAAGCUUCAGUAAUAAAGACAGUGUGGUAUGGACAAACUAAUAGAAAUACAGAUCAAUGGAACAGAACAGAGAACCCAGAAAUAGAUUCACAUAAAUAUAUUGUCAACUGACCUUUGACAAAUAAGAAAAAGCAAUACAGUAGAGCAAAAAUAGCCUUUUCACUAAACAAAUGAACAUCCACAUUCAAAAAAAAAAAAUGAAUCUAGAUGGAGACUUACAUGCUUCACAAAAAUUAACUCAAAAUGAAUAAUAAACCUAAAUGUAAAACACAAAACAAUAAAAA
RNAcentral lists this long non-coding RNA (870 nucleotides) under Homo sapiens (human). Its description in RNAcentral is "novel transcript". Lineage: Eukaryota; Metazoa; Chordata; Mammalia; Primates; Hominidae. The record is from RNAcentral.